Molecule: ribosomal RNA, 253 nt
Filed under: uncultured bacterium
Lineage: Bacteria
Description: partial 16S ribosomal RNA
Rfam family: Bacterial small subunit ribosomal RNA
Source: RNAcentral
UACAGAGGGGGCAAGCGUUGUUCGGAAUUACUGGGCGUAAAGGGCGCGUAGGCGGCCCGCUAAGUCGAACGUGAAAUCCCCGAGCUCAACUCGGGAACUGCGUCCGAUACUGGUGGGCUUGAAUCCGGGAGAGGGAUGCGGAAUUCCAGGUGUAGCGGUGAAAUGCGUAGAUAUCUGGAGGAACACCUAUGGCGAAGGCAGCUCGCUGGGACGUUACUGACGCUGAGACGCGAAAGCGUGGGGAGCAAACAGG